This 624-nucleotide ribosomal RNA is filed under the name uncultured bacterium. RNAcentral's name for it is "bacterial SSU rRNA". The stretch from base 1 to 539 matches the Rfam family "Bacterial small subunit ribosomal RNA", at positions 338 to 873 of the family's 1533-position model. The record is from RNAcentral.
CCUACGGGAGGCAGCAGUGGGGAAUUUUGGACAAUGGGCGCAAGCCUGAUCCAGCAAUGCCGCGUGAGUGAAGAAGGCCUUCGGGUUGUAAAGCUCUUUUGUCAGGGAAGAAACGGUCUGUUCUAAUACAGCGGGCUAAUGACGGUACCUGAAGAAUAAGCACCGGCUAACUACGUGCCAGCAGCCGCGGUAAUACGUAGGGUGCAAGCGUUAAUCGGAAUUACUGGGCGUAAAGCGUGCGCAGGCGGUUUUGUAAGUUUGUCGUGAAAUCCCCGGGCUCAACCUGGGAAUGGCGAUGAAGACUGCAAGGCUAGAGUUUGGCAGAGGGGGGUUAGAAUUCCACGUGUAGCAGUGAAAUGCGUAGAUAUGUGGAGGAACACCGAUGGCGAAGGCAGCCCCCUGGGUCAAAACUGACGCUCAUGCACGAAAGCGUGGGGAGCAAACAGGAUUAGAUACCCUGGUAGUCCACGCCCUAAACGAUGUCUACUAGUUGUCGGGUCUUAAUUGACUUGUACACAGCUACGCGUGAGUAGACCGCCGUGGGAGGUACGGUCGCGAAGAAGUUAAACUAACAAGAAGUUAGACGGCGUGAGACGUGCCGACGGACGACGACGAGGGAGGAGG